ACACAAGUACCUGCUUCAUCCGGUUGCUGGCCUGAUGAAGUAUCACCAGUGUGGAAAGAGAGAGAAAAGGGAUUCUAAAACACCUUUUCAGAAGGCUUCUCUCGUUUUGGAUCAAGUGUCUAUUGCUGUGUCUGAGGUUGGUUUCUCUAAAUGCUACACUUGGGUUAACUUUCAUUCUGUUUUAGGAUCAAUAUCGGGAUGGUAUUCAACUGUUGGAGGGUGUUUCACGGUACAGGAUACGAAUGGAGUUCUCUCUCUUCAGACCUAUGAUACCCGUGUUGGUAGAUGCUAAGGCAUGGUGGCGCUAUGCUGGUCGUGCGGUAACGCAGCAGCAGAGAAAGUCAAGGUUCGUUUUCAUUAAUAACCGAGUAUGAGCAAAUGUUUGCAGGUGUAACUUCUCUUGGGAACAUCUGUCUCGAGCAUCAGGGUUACGAAAGAAAUAUGUGGAUCUUUAUGUUAGCGGGCUCCAGCAGGGCAAGUUUGACAAUUUUGAAAUAAGGCAAAUCGACCGGGAGCUAGACGUAGAAGCUAUUCUACUUUGGAGGUCGGUAGUUUGUUUAUGCUUUCUGUUAGUUGAUGGAGAAGUGGUGGCUGCAGAAUGCUUGCCCAUGCAAAAGUUGAGACGGCAAAGUUAAAAGAGGCAGCCGCGGCACGCGAAAAGUCCAGGAAAAGCACCUGGUGGCCAUUUGGCGGGUAUUGUGGCAUAUGUUUUCAUUUGUUUUACAUUAAUCGCUUGCUAUGCAGGAGCGGCGCUGGUCCAAGGGCCUCAGUUGCCCAAGGCCCUGAAACGGAAGCGGCCCCAGCGCAACUUACAAAGGAAGAAUGGAAUAAGAUUAACGAGCUUCUAAGCUAUCAACCGGGGCAAGACUAUCCGCUGCUUUCUACUCAAGAGCCACAGAACAUGCUGCAAACAAUGCUCGACGUGACCAUAAAACAGAGCUUGGCGUGCAUAAAAGACAGCACCGAUUUGGUCAUAUUAUGUGGGACUUUCUCCAAUUUAAACGUUUCUCUCAAGCUGUUCCCGAAAACGUUCUUCUGCGACACUAAGUUGACGUACUAUGGCCUUUCAUCUCCAGAGGGGCCUCUCAUUUCGGUAAGCUGAAUGGAAUUUGCAUGUCUUAAGAUGAUAAUAUCUGUAUGGUUUGACAGAGCGUGAGUAGAGAGGGAAAAGCGCAAGCGUUGGAUUUGACGUUUGCGUAUGUUCCUUUCGAAGAACAUUUGGAUUGGAAGCUGUCUGUCGCGAUGUCAUCAUGCUAUGUGACGGUAACGUUUUGUGUUGAAAGAGUUCAUCCCAGCUUACAUAAUGCGUGCAGGUUUGUAGAUCCAGUUUUGACAGGUCAUGCACUUUAUGAAAUCUGGCCAAGCCAUGAGCCCGACAGUGGCUUUGGAAACUGCUGUGACUUUGCAGGUAUGAAGCUCCGUAGCAAAAAUAUAUGUUACUCAUUUCACAGUCCAUGCAUGCCAGACAAAGGCAGAAGAGGUAACAAGGCGUGCUCAAGAACAGAUACUAUCUCAACUAGAGAAACAGAGAAGGUAUUCAAAAGUUUUUGCUACUCUUUUUGGCUUGACUUUUUCUUGCAUGCAGGUUCUCUAUAGAUAUUGAUCUUGACGCUCCAAAAGUCUUAAUUCCUGCACUCAAAGAUGAAGGAAUUGGAAAGAAAAGCCAAUUGUUGGUAGACUUGGGACAUUUUAAUCUUCGAACACUGGUACGUGCAUAAGAUGCAUAUAAAACUUACAACAUCCUUCUUCAGGGGAAUGACGACGUUGAGUUCCUGAAACGAAGUCGCUACACUAAACUUUAUGUAUCUGGACGGGAUAUAUCGGCUUUCUUUGUUGAUGGUGAUUUCGAAUGGGCUCACUUUCCUGCGCUGGCCACAGAUGCUGGUGACAAUGCAUAUUCAAUCUUUCCUGUACUUGACCGUUGUGGGAUGUCGAUUAUGCUGCAUAUGGUGAAGCUAGUUACGACAUAGUUUGUGGUUAUUAUGUUCCAGGCUCAAUAUGAAGAUUUGAAUUGGCCUUCAACAUGCGUUGCAAUUGAAGUUCCUCGCCUUGGUAUCCAUUUUUCUCCUGCAAGAUACCUUAGGCUGCUCUAUCUUCUGCACGCUCUGGAGUCGGCUGACCGUUCCAGCUCCCAGCCGAACGCUUUAUCUUGGGAACCAUCAGAGGCAGCUGGAGAUGCACGAGUGCUUUUGUGGGGGGUAAAUUGUUACUUUCCUCGUUCAUCAGCAUCUAAGCAUCACUCAUUCUGCAGGGAAUUGGUAAUAUUACUGCAGAAUGGCAGCCUUGUUGGAUUGCAUUGGCAGGGCCAUACCUGUACGUUCUAGAGGCAUAAGACUCAAAGAACAGCCCACAUCAAUGCAUAAGCUCUCCUCAAAGGACAGGAGGAAAGCCUCCUCUACCCUGGAAAUCCCAAGCUUUUUUGGAGAAUAUCACACUCUAGAGUCUCUACUGCAAUGAAAGGCCCAUGACAUAUUUGAAACUCUCGCUUAAGCAUCUUGCAUUGGAGAUUUCCCUUGUGGCCAGAGAUGAGUGCAGUGAUGUUGUGAGGUUUAUUUAUGAUGCACUUGCACUGGACACACUUCUUCCAGUAAAAUCUGAACCACAUGACGUACUCUAGUCUAGAUUCACAUGCUUCUUGUCGAAAAAUGAACAAGGUUAUGAGUAAGUGAUUUGCUAGUCAUUAUUGAUCAAAGUGAUUUUGAAAAAAUGCUUUGAAUGUGGAGUAGUUAACUAUGUUUGCCUCCAAAAGAGUUUUUUUCCAUGUUACUUGGCCAAUGAGUGAUUGCAAAAAGUUGUAAAGCUUGUAAUCAUCCUUGCCAAUGCUAUUUGAUGGACAAUAUUGUUCAAAGUGAGUGAUAUAUGUUUUGGCAAAGAUGUCACCAUUGCUAAAUAAGUAUGGCAAGUUAAUGCCUUGCUAUAAAAUAUGGAUGUGCAUGGGGAGAACCAUCAAUGGUAUACUCUUUCACUUAGUAUCUAUGGUAAACAAUGUUUCUUUCUUGCUAGAAAGAGCAUUUUGGUAAUCUAGCUUGCAUAGAAGGUGUGAAAACAUCCCUAUAUCCUAUGCAUUAUAUGAAAGAUUACUAGCUGCCAUCUCUGGCUUAAACAAGUUUGAACUAGCAUAAAGUGUCUAAUAUGUAGUAAAUGCAUUAAAGAAUUUUAAUUUGUGUGAGAAUAAAAUGUCCAAAAUGGGAUAGUUCCAAAUAAAUAAGCAAACUACUGUGGAUUUCCCCUAACCAAGAUUGUUGUCCUUUUGCAAAUCUCAAUUCCUCAUAAAGAAAAGAGAAAUUUAGCUAUAAAAUUGAAGAAAGAUAUGAAAGAUAUCAUGAAAGAAUAUAGAUAUAGGAUAUCACCUAAAAACAAUGGAAUAAAAAACAAAGAAAACAAGCUAUAACACUCAAAAUGUCUCAAAGUGAAUAUAAUUUGAUAGAAAUCUCUCAAACUCUGGCUACAAAAUUUGAUAUAGACUCAUUAAAAAAACUUAUAUUUAAACAAAGAGAAUGAGAUUAAAAAGAUGGAGCUAAAACACCAAAAUGCCUAUAGAAAACUAAUUUAAACAUUAAAUUUAUAACUCAUGUAAUUAUGGGAUAAGAUUUGGAUAUAUUAUUAUUAUGAAUCUUUGGAACCUUGAGGAUCCAUUUAGACACUUUCCCCAUCUCAACACACACAUUUUGAGUCUUCAAGUGAUAAAUAUGUUAAAGGCUAUAUUAUCAAAUAAUUUCCCCUUUUUUAAUUGGUUGGUGAAAUUUUUUUUGCUACCUUGGAGUUAGAAAAUAUAUGGUGCUUGCUUCACUUAGAUUAGGAUCAACUUAUUGUAGUUAGUGAUGAAGCACAAGUGAAAGAUCAUGAGAGGGAGACAAGUGGGAGAUUAUUUCAAGCUUAGAUAGAAAGUUUGAUGAUUUACAAAUGAAAAAAGUCUAUAUUAAUGGGAAUAAUAGUAUAUAGAUCCUUGAAUUAAAUUUAUUUUUAUUAAAUAAUUGCCUUUUCUCCAGUAGACUUAAAUAAAAUAUGUUACAUUUGGUUAGCAUGUGUUGAAAGAAGGGGCACAACAUUCAUACAUAGAAGAAAAAAUAUUUAAAAAAAGAGGGGCACAUAGGAGAAAUAUAAAGUGGAAAAAAAAUAUUAAAAAAAAGAGAUAAAAAGAGAGGAAGAUGUUACCAAGAAGAGAGAAAAAAUAUUAAAAAAAGAGGAGGAAGACUUUUAAAGAGGAUAAAAAAUAUUAAAAACGAAGGAGAGAGGAAAAGGCCUAUGGCNNNNNNNNNNNNNNNNNNNNNNNNNNNNNNNNNNNNNNNNNNNNNNNNNNNNNNNNNNNNNNNNNNNNNNNNNNNNNNNNNNNNNNNNNNNNNNNNNNNNNNNNNNNNNNNNNNNNNNNNNNNNNNNNNNNNNNNNNNNNNNNNNNNNNNNNNNNNNNNNNNNNNNNNNNNNNNNNNNNNNNNNNNNNNNNNNNNNNNNNNNNNNNNNNNNNNNNNNNNNNNNNNNNNNNNNNNNNNNNNNNNNNNNNNNNNNNNNNAGGAGAAAAAUUGUAUAAAUAGACUUCGUUUGCAAGGAGGUGGAAACUGAUCAAAAUGCAGCGAUCCAAACUCCAGGCUCCAGUCGCCUCUGCGGCAUUACUCCUGGUGCUAGCACUGCUGCGGCGCUAUGCAUUUCGCCAGGGAUCACCAACAAUGUCAUCGGAGCUCUCAACUUCUUUCUAUGCUAGCACUUAUCCCGAUCUCCCUCAGAUCGUGAGAAGUGUGAUUCACUCUGAAUUUUCCAACGACAGUCGAUCUGCUGCGUCGAUCCUCAAGCUCCACUUCCGAGAUUGCUUCUCUCGAGUAAGUCAGAAAUUAAAAUAGCGUUACUCAUUUAUGGCUGCCAGGGCUGCGACGGAUCGCUGCUCCUCCAGCGAGGAGAUGGGCGCUCCGCCAAGGGACUCAAAACCAUCAACAACGUCAAGCGCGCCGUGGAGACUUCAUGCCCGGCAACAGUAUCGUGCGCAGACAUUCUUGCGCUGAGCGCCCGGGAAUCCGUCAUAGCUGUGAGUGAGACUCUCCAUCUUGAGUUGAUCAUUCUCUUUCGACUUUGCAGCUGGGCGGCCCUUCAUGGACAGUAGAAUUUGGCCGACGGGACAGUCCUGCGACCGUCGCCGCCGCAAUGGAGGCCAUUCCCAGCCCAAACCUCACUGCAACGCAGCUCAUCCAGAGCUUCCAAAGGCGGGGUCUUUCCAAGCGUGAUCUCGUAGCGCUUUCAGGAGGCCACUCCAUCGGCCAGGCCCAGUGCUCUGCAUUUAGCGCACGCCUCUUCAAUGGAACCCCAGGAGAUAGCAUCGAUCGGGCCUUCAAAUCUCGACUCGAGAAGAAUUGCCCUCCAACAGCCCCAGACAAAUUGACCAAUUUGGAUCCAUCCCCCACCACCUUCGACAACUUGUACUUUCGAGCUCUCCUGGCGAAUCAGUCGCUCCUCUUUUCAGACCAGCAGCUCUUGGAGAUUGAUCUGGUGGGCUUUGUCAAGGAGUUUGCGGCCAACCAGCAGACAUUCUUUACCGCCUUCGCCAAUGGCAUGAUCAAAAUGGGCAAGCUCUCGCCAAUCACAGGAGGGCAUGGUGAAAUUCGAUCCUCGUGCUAGUUUUUUUCCUAUACAUGUAAAUCUAUUCCCCACAUAAAAAUAUACACCACAGCCCUGACUAUAGAGAAAGGAAUGUUGGCAUAUCCCGUAGCUUGAUGAUGGUGGUGGAAAUUUUCUCGUCCUGAUAAAUCACUCUGGUGAGAGAUUCCAUUCUUCCCAAUCAAGAUCCCCCUUAAGCUCAGCCACUUGGCCAAUGAGCCAAGAUUUUCGCCGCGAGCCAGGGCACGUCAUCGCAGCUGCCAAGGAUGAUAGAGUCCUUCAAAGAGGACAUUCCAAGACAUUGGUAGUCAACCACGAGGAAAUCCACUUCAGAAAUAACACCUUGCACUGAGACCUUGACGAAAUUUCAAUUGCCACGGUUAGGAAUCUUCAACUCUUAAACCCUAACGUUAAUAUAUAUAAACCUUAGGUUUUAGACGUAUUGCCACGCAAUGGCGAAAAUUCACUGGCAUAUACUUGCUUGCUGUGGAGAAAAUUUUGUGCUGCCUAGGGCUAGCUAGGCGCUGCGAUCGGCAGGAGUGAUGCGCUUGGGCGCUCGGUGUCGUCAUGUUUGAGGCUCAUGUGAGUGAUCGAUCGCUAGUUUGGGGAUUGGAGAGAUGGAUUGCAUUGGCGGACUGGAUUGAGCUCGCGAUUUUCUCCAUUUCUUGUUUCUGCAGGUCUUGUAUCUUCUUCGCAGAUACCUGGGCCAGUAUGUGCGGGGUCUCUCAGCGGAGGCGCUCCAGAUCAGUGUGUGGAAAGGUGAGAGCUAGAUCUUUUGCUCGGGGGGUGUUGAAAUUUUGGUGUUUUUUGGACAGGCGAUGUAGUGCUCAAGGACUUGCAGCUCAAGGCUGAAGCACUGAAUGCUCUGAGGCUUCCUCUCACUGUCAAAGCUGGAUUCCUUGGGUCUGUCACGUUGAAGGCAAGGCAUUGAUCAAGAAAAGUGUACCUUCGAUUCUUAUGCUUUCGUUUUUCUUAGAUUCCUUGGAACAAGCUUGGAAAAGAUCCGGUGAUUGUACUUCUCGACCGGGUUUUUGUUUUGGCGGAACCUGUUGAAGAUGAACAGCUUUUCAAGGUACGAUUUGGUUUUUAGCUUCAAGCGUUACGGAAACUUUCGUGAAAUGCGGUUGCAGAACGAGAACAUGGAAUCCUGGCUUGACGCUAAGCGGAGCCAGAUUGAGGUUAGUACAUACUUGCCUGUGAAGUUUAUUCUCAAACGCUUUUUUGUGUCUUUAAGGAGCUGGAGAUGGCAUUGCUUGAUGCGAAGGCAGGAAGAUCCGGUGAUGAUGCGGUAUGUGCCGCAAAAUGCUGUUUGAGGUUUCGUGUUAAAUUUUCUGUUUUCUGCAGUCGCCGGAAAGUAAGUCCUGGUUAGGCUCGCUCGUUGCGACGAUCAUUGGCAAUCUUAAAGUCUCCGUGACUAAUCUUCAUAUUCGUUACGAAGACACCCUCAGGUCGCUUUCAUCUCUAUCAAGCUAAAUGCCGGUACUGAUACUGGCUUCAUUUUUCAGCAACCCCUCCCAUCCAUUUUGUUUUGGCGUUACUUUAGCCAAAACUUGCCGCUGUGACCAUUGACGAGAAUGAUGUAGAAACCUUCGUAACUAGCGGAGCUCUUGACAAGCUUCACGAGGUAUUUUGAUCAAUUUUGUAACGUGUACUUCAGUUUCUUUUUUCCUGCUUGCUGUGCAGUCGCUCCAGCUGGAUAGUUUUUCUAUCUACCAUGACUCGGAUACUGGGCCGUGGACUCUGGAGAAACGGUGGGAUGAGAUGACAUCCAAAGAAUGGAGCGAGGUUUGUGUUUCCUUCAAUGAAAACAGCAUUUAAAAUUAUUAUGGUUUCAGAUGUUUGAACCGAGUAUUAAAGGGAAAAUACAACACAAGUACCUGCUUCAUCCGGUUGCUGGCCUGAUGAAGUAUCACCGGUGUGGAAAGAGAGAGAAAAGGGAUUCUAAAACACCUUUUCAGAAGGCUUCUCUCGUUUUGGAUCAAGUGUCUAUUGCUGUGUCUGAGGUUGGUUUCUCUAAAUGCUACACUUGGGUUAACUUUCAUUCUGUUUUAGGAUCAAUAUCGGGAUGGUAUUCAACUGUUGGAGGGUGUUUCACGGUACAGGAUACGAAUGGAGUUCUCUCUCUUCAGACCUAUGAUACCCGUGUUGGUAGAUGCUAAGGCAUGGUGGCGCUAUGCUGGUCGUGCGGUAACGCAGCAGCAGAGAAAGUCAAG
Molecule: long non-coding RNA, 7793 nt
Filed under: Selaginella moellendorffii
Lineage: Eukaryota; Viridiplantae; Streptophyta; Lycopodiopsida; Selaginellales; Selaginellaceae
Description: long non-coding RNA (SMOE_LNC001479)
Source: RNAcentral